Long non-coding RNA from Esox lucius (northern pike), 967 nucleotides. The record is from Ensembl. NCBI's taxonomy places the organism in Eukaryota, Metazoa, Chordata, Actinopteri, Esociformes, Esocidae.
AAGCUCUCGCACGCUUUUGUUCAAUUAGUAAACUCAGUCUAUCUAGCGUAGCUAUCUGUAAUGUGAGAAAAUAGACAUCAGACAAUAAUAAUUUCGCUCUUCAUGUGGAUUUCUUUUGACGGCGUUUAUUUACUAAAUGCAUGUUGUGGUCAGCCUGUAGUGGCAUUUAGAAUGGAAAAUUAUCUACUUUGUAGUUAGCUAGUUUGUCAUAACGUGCGAAACUAAAACUGAAUAUAUGUGCAAGGUGUCGGACCAGGCAACUGAUAUUUUGGAAGGACAGAUUUGAUCCAAUUUUCAGACAAACUUUCACCAGGUUGAACUUUUGAAAAUCUUCUGUUACUCUUCACUAGACAGGUGUUAAACCUUUCGCGUUUGUGUGGAAUCUUUUUUUUUUUAAUUUUCCCUCAGCAGAAGUCUUAUGGAGAGGCUUUUCAAACUGGGUGUUUUUAUCCUCAAGCGACUCUGGAUAUACGUACUGUGAGAUCGUAUAGCCGCUUACCCCCAGAGGCCACGUUGAAUGUUGACUUUACAAGAAUAGUCAAAAACGCCUAACUUCACCAUUAUUUGAAUGCCUUUGCAAGGAUUUUGCUGGUUUCUGUGCUGCAGAAAGGGUUUCAAUUUACUCGGACGGGACUAUGGGGAGAAAGAGGAGGAAGAAUCUUUUGAGUUGCGCAACAAGGAGGAUCUGACUUGCAACGGACGGGGUCCACUUGAGGUUACUCUCUCUCAGCCACCUCGUACAGCCAAUGGGACCAAUGGACACAGCCUGUCCGAAGUUCCUGAUGAGAUGAAGAACCUGAUCAUAGAAAAGAGCAAGAUAAUGGGCCUGGAGGAAAACCCUGAGCUGCUCGUCCAAGCUAGAAGAUGUUACCACUCAAUAAAAGCAAACCCUUCGUGCGAGUGGCGCUGCAAUUCUUGAAGAUGAGGGAAGAGAGGAGACGACUGCUUCGCGUCAUGGUAGUUGGAG